GAUGAACGCUGGCGGCGUGCUUAACACAUGCAAGUCGAGCGGAGAUAAAUUGAAAGCUUUGCUUUUAAUUUAUCUUAGCGGCGGACGGGUGAGUAACGUGUGGGCAACCUGCCUCAUACAGAGGGAUAAUCAUGUGAAAAUGUGACUAAUACCGCAUGUCGUUUCGGGAGGGCAUCCUCCUGAAAGAAAAGGAGCAAUCCGGUAUGAGAUGGGCCCGCAUCUGAUUAGCUAGUUGGUGAGAUAACAGCCCACCAAGGCGACGAUCAGUAGCCGACCUGAGAGGGUGAUCGGCCACAUUGGGACUGAGACACGGCCCAAACUCCUACGGGAGGCAGCAGUGGGGAAUAUUGCACAAUGGGGGAAACCCUGAUGCAGCAACGCCGCGUGAAGGAAGACGGUUUUCGGAUUGUAAACUUCUAUCAAUAGGGACGAAGAAAGUGACUGUACCUAAAUAAGAAGCCCCGGCUAACUACGUGCCAGCAGCCGCGGUAAUACGUAGGGGGCAAGCGUUAUCCGGAAUUACUGGGUGUAAAGGGUGAGUAGGCGGCAUGGCAAGUAAGAUGUGAAAGCCCGAGGCUUAACCUCGGGAUUGCAUUUUAAACUGCUAAGCUAGAGUACAGGAGAGGAAAGCGGAAUUCCUAGUGUAGCGGUGAAAUGCGUAGAUAUUAGGAAGAACACCAGUGGCGAAGGCGGCUUUCUGGACUGGAAACUGACGCUGAGGCACGAAAGCGUGGGGAGCGAACAGGAUUAGAUACCCUGGUAGUCCACGCCGUAAACGAUGAGUGCUAGGUGUCGGAGGGGAACCUUCGGUGCCGCAGCAAACGCAAUAAGCACUCCACCUGGGGAGUACGAUCGCAAGAUUGAAACUCAAAGGAAUUGACGGGGGCCCGCACAAGCGGUGGAGCAUGUGGUUUAAUUCGAUGAUACGCGAGGAACCUUACCCGGGCUUGAAUUGCAACUGAAUGAUGUGGAGACAUGUCAGCCGCAAGGCAGUUGUGAAGGUGCUGCAUGGUUGUCGUCAGCUCGUGCCGUGAGGUGUCGGCUUAAGUGCCAUAACGAGCGCAACCCUUAUCGAUAGUUACCAUCAGGUGAUGCUGGGGACUCUGUCGAGACUGCCGUCGUAAGAUGUGAGGAAGGUGGGGAUGACGUCAAAUCAGCACGGCCCUUACGUCCGGGGCUACACACGUGCUACAAUGGGGGGUACAGAAGGCAGCUACACGGCGACGUGAUGCUAAUCCCGAAAGCCUCUCUCAGUUUCGGAUUGGAGUCUGCAACCCGACUCCAUGAAAGCUGGAUUCGCUAGUAAUCGCGCAUUCAGCCACGGCGCGGUGAAUACGUCCCCGGGCCG
Molecule: ribosomal RNA, 1348 nt
Filed under: uncultured bacterium
Lineage: Bacteria
Description: partial 16S small subunit ribosomal RNA
Rfam family: Bacterial small subunit ribosomal RNA
Source: RNAcentral